GCGCGCGCAGGCGGUUUCUUAAGUCUGAUGUGAAAUCCCACGGCUCAACCGUGGAGGGUCAUUGGAAACUGGGGAACUUGAGUGCUGAAGAGAAAAGCGGAGAUUCCACGUGUAGCGGUGAAAUUGCGUAGAGAUGUGGAGGAACACCAGUGGCGAAGGCGGCUUUUUGGUCUGUAACUGACGCUGAGGCGCGAAAGCGUGGGGAGCAAACAGGAUUAGAUACCCUGGUAGUCCACGCCGUAAACGAUGACUGCUUAGUGUUAGAGGGUUUCCGCCCUUUAUUGCUGCACCUAACGCAUUAAUCACUCCGCCUGGGGAGUACGGUCGCAAGACUGAAACUCAAAGGAAUUGACGGGGGCCCGCACAAGCGGUGGAGCAUGUGGUUUAAUUCAAAGCAACGCGAAAAACCUUACCAGGUCUUGACAUCCUCUGACUACUCUAAAAAUAGAUCGUUCCCCUUCGGAGGACAGAAUGACAGGUGGUGCAUGGUUGUCAUCAUCUCGUGUCGUGAGAUGUUGUGUUAAGUCCCGCAACGAGCGCAACCCUUGAUC
Molecule: ribosomal RNA, 551 nt
Filed under: Priestia megaterium
Lineage: Bacteria; Bacillati; Bacillota; Bacilli; Caryophanales; Bacillaceae
Description: bacterial SSU rRNA
Rfam family: Bacterial small subunit ribosomal RNA
Source: RNAcentral